GGUUUACACUGUAUGUUUCUGACAGGAUACUCUGUGAUAGAAGGAAAUCUCACACUGACAGACCGGAAACUUUUUUACUUUUUAGUAUUUUUAUUUUAUUGCUGCUGACUUAAUUCAAUUACUAAAAUCUGGACAGAUUUUAAAAUACUAGCCAUCGUACAUUUGCUGACUUUGUAAAUAGUUACAGGAAAAAAACACACUAAACAACUGGAUGAUACACAACCAGACUUUCAAGUCACUCCGAACACGACAAAGUCACACAGAAAUAUAUGCCUCCUUGCUGAGAUGUGUGGUUAAUGAAAAAAAAAAAAGUGGUUCUAAAAUCAGUUUAAAAUAUCAGUCAUGUUUGAUAUCCUCCAACUGGAUGGAUUCAUUGUUUGAAGCUAAAAAAUCAGAGUCUGUCACCAUAAUACACUUUGUGACUUUCUAUGAAAUCUGUCAGUUGUUUAUUUGAUAAUGGUAAAUGAUGUUGUAUCUAUAGUUGGCCAUAUCAAAGUUUAUAACUCAUAUUCCUCUGUCUGAAAAUUAAAGUGAAAUUUAUUUGGUAGAUAUUUUAAAUCAAAUAAGCAAACAGCAUUUUAGAGGCAAAUACACAUUCACAUACAGAUCCUCUGAGACUGUAUUUAUUAUUGUAAUGGUCUCGUUCUCAAACAUCUUCCUGUAUUGUAAUGAUGAUCUGUUGAGUGUCAGACACACACUGCUGUCUUGAGAAGAAAAGAUGUUCAUGAAACUGUAUGAAGACUGUAGACCUGAAGAAAACAAAGAUAAAACAAGUGGAACACAAACACAUACAUUUCAUCUCUUGUUCAAAUAUCUGCUGUGCUGUUUAUAAAUAUCAUGUAUAUUUAUAGCUGUUAAAAUGACACAAAUGGAUGGAACAAAAGUGAUUUUUACAGAGCAGUAGUUUGAUUGCACAACAUGUUUCCAUCAGGAAGUGAGUCAGUGAUGUUUGCUGGGGGCCAGGGACAGACAUGAUGUGGUAAACAUGAUGGAGGUGUGUGUCGAGUUCAACAGACUUACACAGGCUGUUACUGUGUGUUUGUCACAGUCAGAGAUCAUCUUCACCUGUACAGAUCAUGCAGAGUUGUAGAAUUUAGGUUAAAUGUAUAACAAUGUACAGAAUUCAAGAACACAUUCCAUAAAAGCUGAAUAAUAACCUGUUCUGUGGUAAAUAAACUUUCUGCCUCCUGGUCUGUUUCACAGAGAUCAGAGUUUGUCUUCAUCUGCUUCAGUUUACUGUUACAGUGUUG
Cyprinus carpio carpio is the source of this 1250-nucleotide long non-coding RNA. Lineage: Eukaryota; Metazoa; Chordata; Actinopteri; Cypriniformes; Cyprinidae. The record is from Ensembl.